CUUCAACUCUGACCCUUCUCGGUAUUGAAACCGGAAGUCAAACUGCAACCUACCGUGUGCGCGACAACAUCGCACUGGAGUAGCUGGAUAAACAGGGACAAGCCUGAAACCGGAUCUGGCGACAAAGAGGUAAUGACCGGAGAUGAGGAGAUGAAAUUCUGCCCUUCCGGCACCAUAGUGGCCGUAGAAUGCCAACGAUCUGACGGAACACCUUACUACGACACCAUGGAUAUAGUGGACUGUAACCCAGUUACUGGAGUGACAUGUGACAAUGAUGUGAACAUGGGUCAAUGCGGCGACUACAUGAUCCGUUACCAGUGCGAGCAGACGACAUUCGGCUUGCCAACCACUGCGUCCACUGCCACCCCUCCCGGAACACCAAAACUAAGCUCAACCACUUUAGUGAUGAACAGCAAUAAGGGAUCCACGGGAACAUAUGCGGUCACAUGGCUAGCCGGUCCUACGACAUUCACAUUUUCUCUGCCUGUAUGUCAAAAUAUCACUGCGCAGCCGCCUGCAAUUUGCGAGACAGUUAGUCGCUUGUCCAUGUGGAUUGAUAGGCUGCACCCUACGGUAAAUACCGACGAGCACGAGUUCAUGACCAGAGAGGAGAUCAUGCAAUUCUGUGCUUGUGGUGUAAUUAGCAAAGUCGAAUGUCAGACGACGACCGGUCAGUCACUGGCCCAGUCACCUGAUUUCGCGACGUGCUCCAAAGACAACGGUCUGGUGUGCAGCUUCUUGGAAAAUUUCCCGAUGGGCUGUCAGGAUUACAGAGUACGAUACGAAUGCCAGGAGCAGGUAUGUCAUACUCCGACCUGCACAACCCCAGACAAAACCCGGCGGCUCUAGGUCUCCGACUGCUAAUCCUCCGACAGGAGCAAGCGGUGCAUCAACUGCUCAUCCAACCACUUUCCAUGAAGCAAUACACACUCAAACAGAAACCGGGCCAGGACAGUCGCAUACCAGCACACGGCCUCUCAGUGGCAUGCAGUUCGGGCUUGCAGCUUCCGGUGUCGCAGUUCUGGCGCUCUUUGCAUUGAUUAUGAUGGUCGCUCUCUUCAAGAAGUAUCGUAAGAACAAAGUCGCUGCACGCAACGGAACUGAGGAGAUUCUUUAAUCGCCGUGUUUCCAUAUCAAUUUCAUAGUACUGAACGGUAAAAUCAAGGUCGGGGCUUCACUAACAAUUAAAAACAAGUGAUGCGAUAAGACAUUUUAGAAAAUAAUAGGUUUCUCUUACCCGCCCGUACUCAAGAAAAAAAAUGUUCAGACCAAAACAAUAUAUCUAAUCGCUUAAUUUCUGAAUAGGGUUCUUAUAGCUAAUUAGUGUGGCAUCUGCGUACGAAAUAACAUUUUGUGUAUUUAGCAAAAAGUAAUGAUUCUGAUGGUCGAUGUGUGCGUUUCGAAACUUUGUCUCGAAAGUUUAAGUAUACCCGACUGUUUUGUCUAUGUUCUGAAAUAUUUUGACAUAUGUUUUUUCUAUUCAAGAACUUAUUUUCAAUCAUCAAUGCAUAUAAUCUACAUGUUAUUAUUUUCCUAAUAAAUAAGUUAAAUGAUAAAAUCUAG
Molecule: RNA transcript, 1563 nt
Organism: Dreissena polymorpha
Lineage: Eukaryota; Metazoa; Mollusca; Bivalvia; Myida; Dreissenidae
Gene name: mucin-5B-like
Exons: 5
Source: RefSeq, a predicted model, not a curated record